This 492-nucleotide ribosomal RNA is filed under the name uncultured bacterium. Its description in RNAcentral is "partial 16S ribosomal RNA". It matches the Rfam family "Bacterial small subunit ribosomal RNA", at positions 30 to 507 of the family's 1533-position model. The record is from RNAcentral.
AUUGAACGCUGGCGGCAUGCUUUACACAUGCAAGUCGAACGGUAACAGGCCUUCGGGUGCUGACGAGUGGCGAACGGGUGAGUAAUGCAUCGGAACGUGCCCAGAGGUGGGGGAUAGCGCAGCGAAAGCUGUGCUAAUACCGCAUGUGAUCUGAGGAUGAAAGCGGGGGACCAAGCAGCAAUGUUUGGCCUCGCGCCUCUGGAGCGGCCGAUGUCAGAUUAGGUAGUUGGUGGGGUAAAGGCCUACCAAGCCGACGAUCUGUAGCUGGUCUGAGAGGACGACCAGCCACACUGGGACUGAGACACGGCCCAGACUCCUACGGGAGGCAGCAGUGGGGAAUUUUGGACAAUGGGCGCAAGCCUGAUCCAGCAAUGCCGCGUGCGGGAAGAAGGCCUUCGGGUUGUAAACCGCUUUUGUACGGAACGAAAAGGCUCUGGCUAAUACCUGGGGCUGAUGACGGUACCGUAAGAAUAAGCACCGGCUAACUACGUG